GGGGUUAUAGCUCAAUUGGUAGAGCGCCUGCUUUGCAUGCAGGAGGUCAGGAGUUCGAUUCUCCUUAACUCCACCA
This 76-nucleotide transfer RNA is filed under the name Fibrobacterota bacterium. RNAcentral describes it as "Fibrobacteres bacterium (aquatic metagenome) tRNA-Ala". It matches the Rfam family "tRNA". Rfam says of the family: Transfer RNA (tRNA) molecules are approximately 80 nucleotides in length. Their secondary structure includes four short double-helical elements and three loops (D, anti-codon, and T loops). The record is from RNAcentral. Lineage: Bacteria; Pseudomonadati; Fibrobacterota.